CCUACGGGAGGCUGCAGUGAGGAAUAUUGGUCAAUGGACGAGAGUCUGAACCAGCCAAGUCGCGUGAAGGAUGACUGCCCUAUGGGUUGUAAACUUCUUUUAUAUGGGAAUAAAAUGUUCCACGUGUGGGAUUUUGUAUGUACCAUAUGAAUAAGGAUCGGCUAACUCCGUGCCAGCAGCCGCGGUAAUACGGAGGAUCCGAGCGUUAUCCGGAUUUAUUGGGUUUAAAGGGAGCGUAGGUGGAUUGUUAAGUCAGUUGUGAAAGUUUGGGGCUCAACCGUAAAAUUGCAGUUGAAACUGGCAGUCUUGAGUACAGUAGAGGUGGGCGGAAUUCGUGGUGUAGCGGUGAAAUGCUUAGAUAUCACGAAGAACUCCGAUUGCGAAGGCAGUUCACUGGACUGCAACUGACACUGAGGCUCGAAAGUGUGGGUAUCAAACAGGAUUAGAUACACUAGUAGUC
RNAcentral lists this ribosomal RNA (460 nucleotides) under uncultured bacterium. Its description in RNAcentral is "partial 16S ribosomal RNA". It matches the Rfam family "Bacterial small subunit ribosomal RNA", at positions 338 to 795 of the family's 1533-position model. The record is from RNAcentral.